This 148-nucleotide ribosomal RNA is filed under the name uncultured archaeon. RNAcentral describes it as "partial 16S ribosomal RNA". It matches the Rfam family "Archaeal small subunit ribosomal RNA", at positions 255 to 404 of the family's 1478-position model. The record is from RNAcentral.
AGCCUAGGACGGGUACGGGCCCUGAAAGGGGGAGCCCGGACAUGGACUCUGAGACACAAGUCCAGGCCCUACGGGGCGCAGCAGGCGCGAAAACUGUGCAAUGCGCGAAAGCCCGACACGGGAAACCUGAGUGCCUUGACAAUGUCAA